Long non-coding RNA from Mobula hypostoma (lesser devil ray), 669 nucleotides. RefSeq lists it as uncharacterized. The record is from RefSeq and is a predicted model, not a curated record. NCBI's taxonomy places the organism in Eukaryota, Metazoa, Chordata, Chondrichthyes, Myliobatiformes, Myliobatidae. The transcript is spliced from 3 exons.
UUCCCAGGAUGCAUUGCUUCAUGUGGAACUGAGCCACGUUAAUCAGGAAUCUCACAGGUCAGAGUAACAGCUGUAUUUGCGAUGCUUUACUAGGCCGCUGCCUUCUGAAAUGGGGAAGGCUCAUCUCGGCCAGGUUCCCACAACUCAGCACUAUACCUUGACUCUAGCUAGAUAAGAUCUGUGUGAGUUGAGCCUUAGUAGAAGACAGGAUUGGGCUCAGACGCCCACACAUCCUCCCCAUUUAGAGGGCCUGUCGGCCUGCAGUGUCUGAAUCUCUCAUACGUAGCACAGAUACUGGAGGAGAGAUGAUUCCAUUGAACCCUGGACAAGCCCACAGCACUACCGAGGGGUGAGGAGGGAGGUGAAUAAGAGAAUAAAACACAUGAACUCAAUGAAACUAAUAUACUCAUGGUGAACUGCUCUGUGUUUGUGAGUUGGACAGUCAGCACCUCUUCCCCAGGGCACCACUGCUCAAUACAAGAGGACAUGGCUUUAAGUUUCCAGGGUGGGAGAUGUGAUAACUGGCAGAUGGCGGAUGGCACUUUACUUCAGGAUAAUUUGCAAGGGGCAACCCUGCCAAUUGCUUCUCUCAGAAAUGGAACAGAACAAACAAAAACAGAUAAGUUCCAUAUCAUCAUCCUCCUGAAAGAAAACAUAGACAUUAUUCAA